AACGCACGAGACCUGCGGACCUGCGGAGGGAUCAUUAACAAGUCGAGGUGUGUGGUAUAUGGUGUGGGAUAAAAACCAUAUCAUUACCAUGCAUAAUUAUGAUUAACCCACAGACGACGGAUAGUUGUUCUGUGUAGUCGGAUUUAAAAUUUGGCUAGGUGAAUUUUUUUGGUUGGUGUGUGGUGUGGUGUGUGUGUGUGGUGUGUGUAUGUGAGUAUAAUAUAAGUUGUUAUGAGCAAC
RNAcentral lists this unclassified non-coding RNA (240 nucleotides) under soil metagenome. Its description in RNAcentral is "partial contains 5.8S ribosomal RNA, internal transcribed spacer 2, and large subunit ribosomal RNA". The record is from RNAcentral.